AUUUAAUUAGUAUAUGAAGUACAUUUAAUUUCCAAUUAAAAAGUUUUUUAAAAAAAUUAAAUA
RNAcentral lists this transfer RNA (63 nucleotides) under Hyalomma rufipes. RNAcentral describes it as "tRNA-Gly". Lineage: Eukaryota; Metazoa; Arthropoda; Arachnida; Ixodida; Ixodidae. The record is from RNAcentral.